CCCCGGUAAACGGCGGCCGUAACUAUAACGGUCCUAAGGUAGCGAAAUUCCUUGUCGGGUAAGUUCCGACCUGCACGAAUGGCGUAAUGAUGGCCAGGCUGUCUCCACCCGAGACUCAGUGAAAUUGAACUCGCUGUGAAGAUGCAGUGUACCCGCGGCAAGACGGAAAGACCCCGUGAACCUUUACUAUAGCUUGACACUGAACAUUGAGCCUUGAUGUGUAGGAUAGGUGGGAGGCUUUGAAGUGUGGACGCCAGUCUGCAUGGAGCCGACCUUGAAAUACCACCCUUUAAUGUUUGAUGUUCUAACGUGGACCCGUAAUCCGGGUUGCGGACAGUGUCUGGUGGGUAGUUUGACUGGGGCGGUCUCCUCCUAAAGAGUAACGGAGGAGCACGAAGGUUGGCUAAUCCUGGUCGGACAUCAGGAGGUUAGUGCAAUGGCAUAAGCCAGCUUGACUGCGAGCGUGACGGCGCGAGCAGGUGCGAAAGCAGGUCAUAGUGAUCCGGUGGUUCUGAAUGGAAGGGCCAUCGCUCAACGGAUAAAAGGUACUCCGGGGAUAACAGGCUGAUACCGCCCAAGAGUUCAUAUCGACGGCGGUGUUUGGCACCUCGAUGUCGGCUCAUCACAUCCUGGGGCUGAAGUAGGUCCCAAGGGUAUGGCUGUUCGCCAUUUAAAGUGGUACGCGAGCUGGGUUUAGAACGUCGUGAGACAGUUCGGUCCCUAUCUGCCGUGGGCGCUGGAGAACUGAGGGGGGCUGCUCCUAGUACGAGAGGACCGGAGUGGACGCAUCACUGGUGUUCGGGUUGUCAUGCCAAUGGCACUGCCCGGUAGCUAAAUGCGGAAGAGAUAAGUGCUGAAAGCAUCUAAGCACGAAACUUGCCCCGAGAUGAGUUCUCCCUGACUCCUUGAGAGUCCUGAAGGAACGUUGAAGACGACGACGUUGAUAGGCCGGGUGUGUAAGCGCAGCGAUGCGUUGAGCUAACCGGUACUAAUGAACCGUGAGG
Molecule: ribosomal RNA, 1004 nt
Filed under: Escherichia coli
Lineage: Bacteria; Pseudomonadati; Pseudomonadota; Gammaproteobacteria; Enterobacterales; Enterobacteriaceae
Also listed under: 1 other name
Description: partial 23S ribosomal RNA
Rfam family: Bacterial large subunit ribosomal RNA
Source: RNAcentral